RNAcentral lists this transfer RNA (77 nucleotides) under bacterium. RNAcentral's name for it is "tRNA-His". It matches the Rfam family "tRNA". From Rfam's summary of the family: Transfer RNA (tRNA) molecules are approximately 80 nucleotides in length. The record is from RNAcentral. RNAcentral also lists the same sequence under 1 other name.
GCGAAUGUAGCUCAGUUGGUUAGAGCGCCAGUUUGUGGUACUGGAUGCCGCCAGUUCGAAUCUGGUCAUUCGCCCCA